UCGUGUCCUGUCGUAGUAAAGCGUGUGGAUUCUUGUGUUAGUUAAUAAGGCAUUGUUAGUUAGGUGAAUAAAAUCUUUUAUUUUCAUAUAUCUUCCUCUAAAGAUGUCCCUUGAGGCUUACUUUACGAUAGAGAAGGCCACUUUUGUUAUCCUUUAGGGUAUCAACCCACGUGGGUCGAAAAGUCAUAAAUAUUUUUUGUUACUAUAUUGAUUUGAAAUAUUUAUAAUCCAGAUCAUGUACAAUAUAAAUUUUAACAAAAUAAAUAUAUUAUUAAUAACUGAUUAAUAUUUUAAUUUUGAUUUAUUUUAUAAUUUAGAUGUAUGAUUUGUUAUAA
Molecule: long non-coding RNA, 335 nt
Filed under: Brassica rapa (field mustard)
Lineage: Eukaryota; Viridiplantae; Streptophyta; Magnoliopsida; Brassicales; Brassicaceae
Description: long non-coding RNA (BRAP_LNC002866)
Source: RNAcentral